GACGAACGCUGGCGGCGCGCCUAACACAUGCAAGUCGAACGGAGUUUCCCCUUCGGGGGGAGCUUAGUGGCGGACGGGUGAGUAACACGUGAGGAACCUGCCUUUGAGAGCGGGAUACCGUCUGGAAACGGACGUUAAUACCGCAUAAUGCAGCGAGGCCACAUGGCCAUGCUGCCAAAGAUUUAUCGCUCAAAGAUGGCCUCGCGCCUGAUUAGAUAGUUGGCGGGGUAACGCCCACCAAGUCUGCGAUCAGUAGCCGGACUGAGAGGUCGAACGGCCACAUUGGGACUGAGAUACGGCCCAGACUCCUACGGGAGGCAGCAGUGGGGGAUAUUGCACAAUGGGCGAAAGCCUGAUGCAGCGACGCCGCGUGAGGGAAGACGGUUUUCGGAUUGUAAACCUCUGUCUUCGGGGACGAAACAAGACGGUACCCGAGGAGGAAGCCACGGCUAACUACGUAG
This 461-nucleotide ribosomal RNA is filed under the name uncultured bacterium. RNAcentral describes it as "bacterial SSU rRNA". It matches the Rfam family "Bacterial small subunit ribosomal RNA", at positions 28 to 508 of the family's 1533-position model. The record is from RNAcentral.